This 22-nucleotide microRNA is filed under the name Rattus norvegicus (Norway rat). RNAcentral's name for it is "rno-miR-206-5p". Its record names the gene rno-miR-206-5p. The record is from miRBase by way of RNAcentral. Lineage: Eukaryota; Metazoa; Chordata; Mammalia; Rodentia; Muridae.
ACAUGCUUCUUUAUAUCCUCAU